This is a long non-coding RNA of Etheostoma spectabile (orangethroat darter), 644 nucleotides long. RefSeq lists it as uncharacterized. Lineage: Eukaryota; Metazoa; Chordata; Actinopteri; Perciformes; Percidae. The record is from RefSeq and is a predicted model, not a curated record. The transcript has 3 exons.
AAAGAAUUAAGAUAGAUGUGUAGGGCUGGGCGAUAUGGAGAAAAUCUAAUAUCGCGAUAUUUUUGACCAAAUACAUUGAUGUCAAUACUGCAACGAUAGUUUAGUGUUGACUAUUGGUGCUUCAACAAAAUAUUUACACAAUGACAGUUUUGAUAAACAAUCAUCAGUAAUGUAUAUAUAAUGACUAAGUGGGUAAAGGAAAACAAUUGAGCAGUUACAGUCUGGGAUAAUCAGAAGAUUAUACCACUUUACCAUAAUGCAGCCUUUAAAACCAGGAAAAGACACCACUUAUGCCAUAUUAUAAUAUUACGAUAUCCAAAAUCUAAGACGAUAUGUAGUCUCAUAUGAAUAUAGUGCCCAGCUCUAGUCAGGUCUGCAAACUGGGUCUGGAAUCAUAACAAUGACUAUGAUGUUAAGUGCUGACUCUUUGCGGGAAUCCACAUCCGUAAAUAUCUUAUAGCCCAAAAUAGUCUCUCAACAGGGACAGAACAGAAUUGGACAUAAACUUAAAUAAAAACCUUAAAGUGUCAUCUGUUUAAAAAAAAUGAAAGUAAUAGCAAUCAAUAAAGACUUAAGUGUCUGCACUCACUAACAUUUUCAAACAACAAGUGGGACUGAUGCUGUUCAACAUCUACUUUACUGUU